ACCCGCUGAACUUAAGCAUAUCAAUAAGCGGAGGAAAAGAAACCAACAGGGAUUGCCUCAGUAACGGCGAGUGAAGCGGCAAAAGCUCAAAUUUGAAAUCUGGCGUCUUUGGCGUCCGAGUUGUAAUUUGCAGAGGGCGCUUUGGCAUUGGCAGCGGUCCAAGUUCCUUGGAACAGGACGUCACAGAGGGUGAGAAUCCCGUACGUGGUCGCUAGCCUUUACCGUGUAAAGCCCCUUCGACGAGUCGAGUUGUUUGGGAAUGCAGCUCUAAAUGGGAGGUAAAUUUCUUCUAAAGCUAAAUACUGGCCAGAGACCGAUAGCGCACAAGUAGAGUGAUCGAAAGAUGAAAAGCACUUUGGAAAGAGAGUUAAAAAGCACGUGAAAUUGUUGAAAGGGAAGCGCUUGCAGCCAGACUUGCCUGUAGUUGCUCAUCCGGGUUUUUACCCGGUGCACUCUUCUAUAGGCAGGCCAGCAUCAGUUUGGGCGGUUGGAUAAAGGUCUCUGUCAUGUACCUCUCUUCGGGGAGAACUUAUAGGGGAGACGACAUGCAACCAGCCCGGACUGAGGUCCGCGCAUCUGCUAGGAUGCUGGCGUAAUGGCUGU
This 603-nucleotide ribosomal RNA is filed under the name uncultured fungus. RNAcentral describes it as "eukaryotic LSU rRNA". It matches the Rfam family "Eukaryotic large subunit ribosomal RNA", at positions 23 to 641 of the family's 3401-position model. Lineage: Eukaryota; Fungi. The record is from RNAcentral.